GACGAACGCUGGCGGCGUGCUUAACACAUGCAAGUCGAACGGUGAAGGGACUGGUUUUGCUGGUCCUGGAUGAGUGGCGAACGGGUGAGUAACACGUGAGUAACCUGCCCCCUUCUUCUGGAUAACCGCAUGAAAGUGUUGCUAAUACGGGAUAUUCUGGGUCUGUCGCAUGGUGGGCCUGGGAAAGAUUGCGCCUUUUUUGGUGUUUUUGGUGGGGGAUGGGCUGGCGGCCUAUCAGCUUGUUGGUGGGGUGAUGGCCUACCAAGGGGGUGACGGGUAGCCGGCCUGAGAGGGUGGACGGUCACGCUGGGGCUGAGACACGGCCCAGACUCCUACGGGAGGCAGCAGUGGGGAAUAUUGCACAAUGGGCGAAAGCCUGAUGCAGCGACGCCGCGUGAGGGAUGGAGGCCUUCGGGUUGUGAACCUCUUUCGCCAGUGAAGCAGGCCUGCCUCUUUUUGUGGGUGGGUUGACGGUAGCUGGAUAAGAAGCGCCGGCUAACUACGUG
RNAcentral lists this ribosomal RNA (506 nucleotides) under uncultured bacterium. RNAcentral describes it as "partial 16S ribosomal RNA". It matches the Rfam family "Bacterial small subunit ribosomal RNA", at positions 28 to 507 of the family's 1533-position model. The record is from RNAcentral.